UACGGGGGGAGCAAGCGUUGUUCGGAUUUACUGGGCGUAAAGGGCGCGUAGGCGGUCAGCACAAGUCAGUUGUGAAAUCUCCGGGCUUAACCCGGAAAGGUCAACUGAUACUGCGGGGCUAGAGUGCGGAAGGGGCAACUGGAAUUCUCGGUGUAGCGGUGAAAUGCGUAGAUAUCGAGAGGAACACCUGCGGCGAAGGCGGGUUGCUGGGCCGACACUGACGCUGAUGCGCGAAAGCCAGGGGAGCGAACGGG
This 254-nucleotide ribosomal RNA is filed under the name uncultured bacterium. RNAcentral's name for it is "partial 16S ribosomal RNA". It matches the Rfam family "Bacterial small subunit ribosomal RNA", at positions 524 to 776 of the family's 1533-position model. The record is from RNAcentral.